AAGUCGUAACAAGGUUUCCGUAGGUGAACCUGCGGAAGGAUCAUUACCACAUCCAAAAUCUUAUAUAAACCCACACAUGUGAAGCUAUGAUGAGGAACUUUUCCUUUAUUAUUUGAACCCCUUUUGAACUUUUUUAACAAGUAACAAGCAAGACUAACAAAAAUGAGAAAAGAGAAAACAACUUUUAACGGUGGAUCUCUUGGCUCGU
Molecule: unclassified non-coding RNA, 208 nt
Filed under: fungal sp.
Lineage: Eukaryota; Fungi
Description: partial internal transcribed spacer region
Rfam family: Eukaryotic small subunit ribosomal RNA (bases 1-46)
Source: RNAcentral